RNAcentral lists this ribosomal RNA (540 nucleotides) under uncultured bacterium. RNAcentral describes it as "bacterial SSU rRNA". It matches the Rfam family "Bacterial small subunit ribosomal RNA", at positions 8 to 527 of the family's 1533-position model. The record is from RNAcentral.
AGAGUUUGAUCAUGGCUCAGAAUCAACGCUGGCGGCGUGCCUCAGACAUGCAAGUCGAACGCGAAAGUCCCUUUCGGGGGACAAGUAGAGUGGCGCACGGGUGAGUAACACGUAGGUAAUCUACCUUCGGAUGGGGAAUAACAACCGGAAACGGUUGCUAAUACCGCAUAAUGCAGCGGCACCUAAUGGUGACAGUUGUUAAAGCGGGGGAUCGAAAGACCUCGCGUCUGAAGAGGAGCCUGCGGCGGAUUAGCUAGUUGGUAAGGUAACGGCUUACCAAGGCGACGAUCCGUAGCCGGCCUGAGAGGGCGGUCGGCCACACUGACACUGACAUACGGGUCAGACUCCUACGGGAGGCAGCAGUCGGGAAUUUUGGGCAAUGGGCGAAAGCCUGACCCAGCAACGCCGCGUGAAGGAUGAAAUCCCUCGGGAUGUAAACUUCGCAAGAACGGGAAGAAUAAGUAGGGGACAAUACCCCCUAUGAUGACGGUACCGUUUGUAAGCUCCGGCUAACUCCGUGCCAGCCGCCGCGGUAAUUCA